RNAcentral lists this long non-coding RNA (475 nucleotides) under Phoenix dactylifera (date palm). RNAcentral describes it as "long non-coding RNA (PDAC_LNC011178)". Lineage: Eukaryota; Viridiplantae; Streptophyta; Magnoliopsida; Arecales; Arecaceae. The record is from RNAcentral.
UGACGCCAUGGUUUCUGAUCUCGUUGAUGUUUGAUAUGGUCAGAAUGUCAGCAAAUAAAAUGGAACACAGAUUUAAAGCCUCUAAUCAAACAUAUUAUUUUUGGAAUAACAAUUAUACGACAUUUUCUAGGCCUUUGGCAACUCUGCAAGACUUGAAGAUGUGAGAUCCAGUGUCUGUAGGUUGUAAAGGAAACGUAAUGAUCCAGGGAACCCUGACCCAUAAUCAAUGUACAAAUAGCGCAGGUGUUUCAGAUUGCCAAUUGAAUCUAUCAAUUCGUAACGGCUACCCAGUCCAAUUCCAAAGCCCUUAAUCACUGCAUAUUUCAAAGCACUUCAUAAGGAGAUAAAAACUAAUAUUAAUAUGCCUAUAGGCUGUUUAUCGAGAUCAUAAAUACUAAAAAUACUCCAUGUAGACAACAUAUAUAACUACAUUAAAAGCCUGUAGACAUUUCUUUACCAGAUAAAUAUGCCCACA